Molecule: long non-coding RNA, 256 nt
Filed under: Vulpes vulpes (red fox)
Lineage: Eukaryota; Metazoa; Chordata; Mammalia; Carnivora; Canidae
Description: lncRNA (ENSVVUG00000020686.1)
Source: RNAcentral
AAGCACUCUUCUAUGGCUUAACCUUCAGACAACCCUACAGGUUUGAGAACCAUUUUACAGAUAAGGAAAACCGUGACUUUCGGGCACAUGAAGUUAAGCAAGUAUACCUCAGAGCUGCUGCAACAGGCAAGCAAUACCAGAAGGGGGUUCUGGGAAGUCUUUGACAAUAUCAUGCAAUCUGAGUGAGACCAAGGUUUAAGAUGUUCAGAUAGGUGCUCAGGUCAUUAGUCAUCACAAGUAGGAAAAAGCCAUAAGG